This 311-nucleotide ribosomal RNA is filed under the name uncultured eukaryote. RNAcentral describes it as "partial 18S ribosomal RNA". It matches the Rfam family "Eukaryotic small subunit ribosomal RNA", at positions 1470 to 1796 of the family's 1831-position model. The record is from RNAcentral.
CCCCUAGACGUUCUGGGCUGCACGCGCGUUACAAUAAUACGCACAGCGAGUAUCACCGAGCUCGAAAGGGCAAGGUAAACAAUAGAAAAGGUACUGUAAUGGUUAUAGAUCCUUGUAAUUAUUGAUCUUCAACGAGGAAUUCCUAGUAAGUAUGUGUCAUCAUCACGCACUGAUUACGUCCCUGCCCUUUGUACACACCGCCCGUCGCUCCUACCGAUUGGGUGAGCCGAUGAAACUCUCGGAUGUAGGCUAUUCAUAGCCCGCAGAAGAGAUUUGAAUCGUAGCGCUUAGAGGAAGGAGAAGUCGUAACA